CACGUAGGGCGCAAGCGUUGUCCGGAAUUAUUGGGCGUAAAGAGCUCGUAGGCGGUCUGUUGCGUCCGCUGUGAAAACUCGGGGCUUAACCCCGAGCCUGCAGUGGAUACGGGCAGACUAGAGGUAGGUAGGGGAGAAUGGAAUUCCCGGUGUAGCGGUGAAAUGCGCAGAUAUCGGGAGGAACACCGGUGGCGAAGGCGGUUCUCUGGGCCUUACCUGACGCUGAGGAGCGAGAGCGUGGGGAGCGAACAGG
Molecule: ribosomal RNA, 253 nt
Filed under: uncultured bacterium
Lineage: Bacteria
Description: partial 16S ribosomal RNA
Rfam family: Bacterial small subunit ribosomal RNA
Source: RNAcentral